Long non-coding RNA from Canis lupus familiaris (dog), 2001 nucleotides. RefSeq lists it as uncharacterized. The record is from RefSeq and is a predicted model, not a curated record. The transcript is spliced from 5 exons. NCBI's taxonomy places the organism in Eukaryota, Metazoa, Chordata, Mammalia, Carnivora, Canidae.
UGCCUGGCACAUAGUAGGUUCUCAAUAAAUGUUAGCUAUUUGCAUUACUCUUACAUUGUCAUUCUAUGUCACCCUCUGCUUUAAAGAGAUUUACAUGUAUUAUUUACACAGUUUAAUCCUUAUGACAAGGCGGGCUAGCCCCAUUUUACAUGCGUGGGAAGUGCAGAUUGCAAAACAGGAAGACCGGUAAGGAGCUCUUCAGUGAUGCCUGCCCCAGUGGUCCUUCGUGGCACUACCCCUGUCUACCCAGCUCUGGGUUAACUCCACAGAGAAGCCACCACCUACAGGUGAGGCCUGCAGACCCGCCCCUUCACUUUGUGGGUACAGAAAUCUCUCCUUCCCCUGCUCACAGUCUCUUUCAAGUUGCUGCGGAUCUACCUACUGGGGGCCAUGGGGACAUCUCACUUCCUCCAGAUUCAUAAGCACUUCUCUUGGAGUCCAAGUGAAGGCCAAACAGUGGGCACAAUAGCGGAGAGGGAACCAAGCUGGUCGGACUGGCAUUGUUGGUCACUAAAACAAACACUUCCUGUUGUCCCAGAGUGUUUGGGGAAGACCAGGGUUCCUGCGGGCUGGAAAAAAAUGAAAAAGGAGCAGCAAAGCAACCCAGCUGCAAAGCCAAUGCCUUGGUGCUGACUGCUUUCCAGGAGUUAAAUAUAGCCCCUGUGUGAGGGAGGGCAGGGGAGGUCACCUUGGAAGGCUUUUGUGUGUGUUCAUUACAGCUGGUGCAGGAAACUUCAUAUCCUUUAUGCUGAAGAGAAUAGUGCAGAUUCCUCCCUGUUUAGCUCACAAAGGAAAUGGUUCCAGGAGGAAGUGGAAAACUGUGACCCACACAUGCUCGCCCCCUCGCACAAGAUGGCAGCUGCUUCCGUCCGCGGCAGCCUGCACCCUCUCCGUCCUCGGCUGCGUGGGGGGCAGACGUGGUCCUGGGAGUGGCCUGCGGUACCCGGUGAUAAAAGCAAGAUGGUGCCCACUCCUAUGAGGGUUGGUUCAGAUGCGACUUCCUCCAGGAGGGCAGUCCUCCUUUCCUGGACAGGAGCCAGCGUAUUGGCCAUGACUUCUUGGGUGGCAAGUGACAGCAUCACAGCUCAAACCAGCUUAAGCCAAAGAAAGGAAUCCAUUCACUCAGAAGCAUCUUCAGAUUCUUUACCCUCUGGCUCCUCGAAGACCAGUCUUUGUGAAGAAACUGAGGGAAUAUACAUCUCCUCCCGUCCUACUUCUGUCACAUAGAGCGAUGCUUCCCCAAGCAUGGAAUUCAGGUGAUUGGUGGGAAUGUGGCCUGGACUCGGUUGUGACAGAGACCACCACAUUUGAGGAGUUACGAAUUUAUUUGAAUUUGUAUUAAAAGCAUAUGACUGGUCCUUAGGAAUCCAUACUUCCACUGAUGUUGCUUAAAAUAGAAAUGUCAGGUAUGAGUCAGUUGAAAGAAAAAUAUCAGGUAGACAGCGUUAAGCAAGCAAAGAAUCUGUUGAACAUCAAGAACGUUGUGUUGGAGUGACUGAAAUUUGGGAAACACUUUUGGUCAUGGGUAUAGAUGUCAACUUACUUUUGACUUGAUUCAUCUGCACACUUGGCUCUAAUUUGCCCUGAGGACUUAACUGUGUGUGAGUGUGAGAGUGUGAGAGUGUGUGAGAGUAUGAGUGUGUGUAUGUAUGCGAGACUGUGAGAGAAUGAGUGUGUGUUUGUGAGUGUGUGUGUGUGACUGCAGGCCCGUGAUUUCUCUUACCUGUGCUCCUGUGCCAAUCAUACUGGACCAGGCCAGGUGAAGAGGCGAGGGGGCUCCUGGGUGAUAAUGAGAGGCUGGCCCUCAUCUUCAUAGCCUCUGGAUUUUAUUUAUUGAAGAUGUUACUCCAGGGUUUUUGAAUGGUUUGAGUGUGAGAGUGUCCCUGCAUGGCUGUGUCUGUAAGUAGGUGUUUAUCAUUGUGUAGGCAAGAUUUUCAGCAACUUGAAGUCUGAUGUGAAAUGAAGCAUUUAAAAAUUAAUUCCAGGGGAUCCCUGGGUGGC